ACGCUGACAGAAUGCUUAACACAUGCAAGUCGAUGGGGAAGUGGUGCUUGCACCAUGGUAACCAUGGCGGACGGGUGAGUAACGCGUAAGGAACUUACCUGCGGGACCGGGAUAACAGCAGGAAACUGCUGACAAGACCGGAUAAGGUCAUUAAGCCGCAUAGCUUAGUGAUGAAAGGAGACGCCUGCGGAGAGCCUUGCGUCCUAUUAGCUAGUUGGAGGGGUAACGGCCCACCAAGGCGAAGAUAGGUAGCCGGCCUGAGAGGGUGGUCGGCCACAAGGGGACUGAGAUACGGCCCUUACUCCUACGGGAGGCAGCAGUGGGGAAUAUUGGACAAUGGGGGCAACCCUGAUCCAGCAAUUCCGUGUGCACGAAGACGGUUUUCGGAUUGUAAAGUGCUUUCAGCAGGGAAGAAGGAAGUGACGGUACCUGCAGAAGAAGCGACGGCUAAAUACGUGCCAGCAGCCGCGGUAAUACGUAUGUCGCGAGCGUUAUCCGGAAUUAUUGGGCAUAAAGGGCAUCUAGGCGGCCUUUCAAGUCAGGGGUGAAAACCUGCGGCUCAACCGCAGGCCUGCCUUUGAAACUGAUAGGCUGGAGUACCGGAGAGGUGGACGGAACUGCACGAGUAGAGGUGAAAUUCGUAGAUAUGUGCAGGAAUGCCGAUGAUGAAGAUAGUUCACUGGACGGUAACUGACGCUGAAGUGCGAAAGCCGGGGGAGCAAACAGGAUUAGAUACCCUGGUAGUCCCGGCCGUAAACGAUGAUUACUGGGUGUGGGCAGGAAGACUGUCUGUGCCGAAGCGAAUGCGAUAAGUAAUCCGCCUGGGGAGUACGGCCGCAAGGCUGAAACUCAAAGGAAUUGACGGGGACCCGCACAAGCGGUGGAGCAUGUGGUUUAAUUCGACGCAACGCGAG
This 914-nucleotide ribosomal RNA is filed under the name uncultured bacterium. RNAcentral describes it as "bacterial SSU rRNA". It matches the Rfam family "Bacterial small subunit ribosomal RNA", at positions 33 to 965 of the family's 1533-position model. The record is from RNAcentral.